CUAGCCUCAUCAAUUUAGCGAGACCCUACCUCAAAAAAAAAAAAAAAAAAAAAAAAGGACUGGGGAUGCAGCUCAUGGUAAAGCACCCCUGGGUUCAAUUCCCCCCAGUACUAAACUACUCUGCCACCCAUCCCCAACCCACCCCUGGGGGGUGGCGGGGGGAAAUCAUCAUGGAGUUAAGUCCUUGAAUUUAGUAAAGGAUUCUUUCUUUUCCUUUUUCCUCCCCCUCCCCCCCACCGUGCUGGGGAUUGAAUCCAAUAGUAUUCUACUACUAAGUUACACCCCCAGCCUUUUAAUUGUUUUUACUUUAUUUUGAGACAGGGUCUUGUUGAGUUGCCCAGGCUAGCCUUGAACUUGCAAUCCCCCUGAGUAGCUAGUGAAAGAUUCUUAGAUGUGAAAACAAAAGCACCAGCUUCUAAAAGAAAAUCAACCUACAAACUGGACUUCAUCAAAAGUUAAAACAUUUGUGUUUCAAGAGAUACCAUGAAGAGAAAAGUGAAAGUGAAAAAAAACCUAAGGAAUAAGAAAAAUACCUGCAAAUCACAUAACUGAUAUGAGAUCUGCAUCUACUGUAAUGAAUUUUUAAACUCAAUAACUAACAAAUGGCCCAACUUUUAAAAAAUGGACUAAGAAUAAUGAGUAGACAUUUUCCAAAGAAGAAACACAAAUGGCCAAAAAACACAUGAAAAGAUGUUUAACAUCAUUGUCACAAGGGAAAUGGAAAUCAAAACCACAAGGGACUACCACUUCAUACCCACUACAAUAGCCAAAAUUAAAAGUCAGAUAACACAUAUUGGCAAAGAAGAAGAGAAAUUGGAGCUCUCAUAUACUGUUGAUAGGAAUGGAAAAUUGUAUUGCUACUUUGGAAAACAGCCUGGCAGUUCCUCAAAUCAUUAAACAUCUAGUUCCCACGUGACCCAGAAGUUCUAGGUAUACAUUCAAGAGAAAUAAAAAUAUGUUCACACAGAAAUUUGUGCACAAAUGAUUAUUGCAAUAUUCAGAAUCACCAGAAGAUGAAAACAACCCAAAUGUUUUUUUUUUUUUUAAGAGAGAGUGAGAGAGGAGAGAGAGAAUUUUUUUUUUAAUAUUUUUUUUUUAGUUUUCGGUAGACACAACAUCUUUGUUUGUAUGUGGUGCUGAGGAUCAAACCCGGGCCACACGCAUGCCAGGCCAGCGCGCUACCGCUUGAGCCACAUCCCCAGCCCAACCCAAAUGUUUAUCAACAGACAAAUACAUAAAUUAAAAUGUGAUAUAUACAUAUCAUGGUAUAUUGUUUGACCACAAGAAAACAAUUAAGUACUGAUACAUGCUGCAACAUGAAUGAAUCUGAAAGAAAAGUGGAAGAAGCCAGUCAUAAAAAUCAUAUAUUCUAUGAUUGCAUUCAUAUGAACUCGUAGAAGAGAUCUGUAUAAAUGGAAAGGGAAUUUUAUACAGGCAAAAGUAGAUUAGUGGUUGCUUAAAGCAGAGGUGUAUGCACUCUAAAUGAAAAUGUUCUAAAAUUGACUGUUGAUGGUUGUUAUACUAAAAACCAGUGACUUGUAUACCUUUAAUGAGUAAAUUGUACAGUAUGUGAAUUAUGUUUCAAUAAAG
RNAcentral lists this long non-coding RNA (1590 nucleotides) under Marmota monax (woodchuck). Lineage: Eukaryota; Metazoa; Chordata; Mammalia; Rodentia; Sciuridae. The record is from RNAcentral.